CGUACACUCUACGGGAGGCAGCAGUGGGGAAUAUUGGACAAUGGGCGCAAGCCUGAUCCAGCCAUGCCGCGUGAGUGAUGAAGGCCCUAGGGUUGUAAAGCUCUUUCACCGGUGAAGAUAAUGACGGUAACCGGAGAAGAAGCCCCGGCUAACUUCGUGCCAGCAGCCGCGGUAAUACGAAGGGGGCUAGCGUUGUUCGGAUUUACUGGGCGUAAAGCGCACGUAGGCGGACUAUUAAGUCAGGGGUGAAAUCCCGGGGCUCAACCCCGGAACUGCCUUUGAUACUGGUAGUCUUGAGUUCGAGAGAGGUGAGUGGAAUUCCGAGUGUAGAGGUGAAAUUCGUAGAUAUUCGGAGGAACACCAGUGGCGAAGGCGGCUCACUGGCUCGAUACUGACGCUGAGGUGCGAAAGCGUGGGGAGCAAACAGGAUUAGAAACCCGUGUAGUCCCAU
RNAcentral lists this ribosomal RNA (451 nucleotides) under uncultured organism. RNAcentral describes it as "partial 16S ribosomal RNA". It matches the Rfam family "Bacterial small subunit ribosomal RNA", at positions 330 to 798 of the family's 1533-position model. The record is from RNAcentral.